GAAAUGCGAUAAGUAGUGUGAAUUGCAGAAUUCAGUGAAUCAUCGAAUCUUUGAACGCACAUUGCGCCCUUUGGUAUUCCUUAGGGCAUGCCUGUUCGAGCGUCAUUUGUAACCUCAAGCUCAGCUUGGUGUUGGGUGUCUGUCCCCGCCCCGCGCGGGGACUCGCCUCAAAAACAUUGGCGGCCGGUACGUUGGCUUCGAGCGCAGCAGAAACGCGAACUCGAGGCCCGACGGAUCGGCGACCAGAAGCUACACCCACCCAGUUUGACCUCGGAUCAGGUAGGGAUACCCGCUGAACUUAAGC
This 304-nucleotide unclassified non-coding RNA is filed under the name plant metagenome. RNAcentral describes it as "partial contains 5.8S ribosomal RNA, internal transcribed spacer 2, and large subunit ribosomal RNA". The stretch from base 1 to 105 matches the Rfam family "5.8S ribosomal RNA", at positions 50 to 154 of the family's 154-position model. The record is from RNAcentral.